AAAAUGUCCAGCUUGUCUGGGAGGGAAGUUUACGAACGAGGACUUCACAGAGAAUUAGGUUGUAGCUCCAGCGUUUGAAAGAGCAGCUAUUCUUGAGAAUCUCUUUUAAUGCGACAAUAGGGACUCCAUAAAGGAAGAAACAUAGUUGGUGGAACCUAGGAAAAUAAUGAAUAAUCAUAAAAAGUUAAUUUCCCGAAACGAAGGGAGGAACAGCGGGGUUGGUUGGUUGAUUUUAAAUGUAAAGCAAAAAGAAUAAGUUUUUUCUUUGUAAGUCAGUAGCAUUUUAGAUGUCCCAGAAGAGCAGAAAAGAAACGUAAGGGCGGAAAAUUGUUCUUUCAAUUUAAGUUAAAAAAAAACUACCUCUGUCAGAUCCAAAGUACCUAGGAAAGUAAGGGCGGUGGUUAAUUCUUUGAUAAAUAAAACGAUGGAAUCAUGCCAGUCCUAUGGCGUCGUGAA
RNAcentral lists this ribosomal RNA (456 nucleotides) under Doru lineare. RNAcentral describes it as "partial 16S ribosomal RNA". The record is from RNAcentral. Lineage: Eukaryota; Metazoa; Arthropoda; Insecta; Dermaptera; Forficulidae.